AUGUACCUGGAUGACAAUUUGCUUACUAUUUACUUUGCUCUACUGGGAGUUCAUUUCAUUUUCCAAGCUAUUUCCUUCUGUUAUUACAGGAUGUGGUUCUCCUUGCUGCAUGCUUGCAGCCCCCGCGUCCCUUUCAUCCUUCCCCUGUGCCCCGUUGCCGUGAGUUUGGAGCACCCACAGGCAGCACCAGCUUUGGGGGACAUCAUCUCCCUGUGGGCACAGUGUGACCCACGCCACCGACCGGGGAACCUCGUGCAGGACAAGAUGCCGGGGUGGAUCUGCUGCAGGCACAGCACGCUGGGGGGACACGCGCUGCCCGCACCCUGGGGACGGGUGGCACCAGGUCAGUGGUGCCAUCACAGCACAGAAACAGGAGCCACGAAAUCACUGUCCUGCUGGGAUAUUCAGGCUGCAGCUUCCGAGGGCACCGCGGGGCCCCUUGGAGCCCUGGCUCAGGUCCAAGGCCACAGGCACGCACAGGAGACAGUUUGGGCGGGCAGCAGGGGAGGCACCGAGCCCGCGAGCAAGGCUGCCUUCGGGGAACUAAUUUAGGCAGAGAAUUUCUAGAUUAGCUAAAUUGAAUCAAAACAUUGCAAUACAGUUCAAUAAUUACUUUUACAGCAAAUGUGCUUUAAAAUGAACAGAUCAUUUUGACAGAGAACUGAGCAGCUGAUGAUAAACUCAUAUGAAAGUAUGAGCUUUGUAUAUAUGAAACUGUAUAAAAGACUUUAAUAUAUUUUUACUAUGAUCAUUAAUAUAGCAUAUAUUCAAAAAACUUCUACUGAAGCUUUCAAUUAUCUUUUUUUUCCCUUGUUUAAUAAAAUGUUGAUGGAGGAUGAGUAAUAAGUUGUC
This 852-nucleotide long non-coding RNA is filed under the name Anser cygnoides (Swan goose). Its description in RNAcentral is "lncRNA (ENSACDG00005000779.1)". Lineage: Eukaryota; Metazoa; Chordata; Aves; Anseriformes; Anatidae. The record is from RNAcentral.